GAACUUGCGUUACUGCAUACUCGAGAAGAACCGACUGCUCUACUUCAAUAAACCCACUGA
RNAcentral lists this transfer RNA (60 nucleotides) under Climacostomum virens. The record is from RNAcentral. Lineage: Eukaryota; Ciliophora; Heterotrichea; Heterotrichida; Climacostomidae.